Molecule: long non-coding RNA, 102 nt
Organism: Populus euphratica (Euphrates poplar)
Lineage: Eukaryota; Viridiplantae; Streptophyta; Magnoliopsida; Malpighiales; Salicaceae
Exons: 3
Source: RefSeq, a predicted model, not a curated record
AAAAAUAAUUACACCUUUAGAGCGAAGGUACAGUUACUCUACACGCAAAAGUAUCUCAUAAGAUCUAUACAUUCAUGCCAAACUAACCAAAUAAGUGCUAAU